AGUGAACGCUGGCGGUAGGCCUAACACAUGCAAGUCGAACGGCAGCACAGUAAGAGCUUGCUCUUACGGGUGGCGAGUGGCGGACGGGUGAGGAAUACAUCGGAAUCUACUUUUUCGUGGGGGAUAACGUAGGGAAACUUACGCUAAUACCGCAUACGACCUACGGUUGAAAGCAGGGGAUCUUCGGGCCUUGCGCGAUUGAAUGAGCCGAUGUCGGAUUAGCUAGUUGGCGGGGUAAAGGCCCACCAAGGCGACGAUCCGUAGCUGGUCUGAGAGGAUGAUCAGCCACACUGGAACUGAGACACGGUCCAGACUCCUACGGGAGGCAGCAGUGGGGAAUAUUGGACAAUGGGCGCAAGCCUGAUCCAGCCAUACCGCGUGGGUGAAGAAGGCCUUCGGGUUGUAAAGCCCUUUUGUUGGGAAAGAAAAGCAGCAGGUUAAUACCCCGCUGUUCUGACGGUACCCAAAGAAUAAGCACCGGCUAACUUCGUG
RNAcentral lists this ribosomal RNA (492 nucleotides) under uncultured bacterium. RNAcentral's name for it is "partial 16S ribosomal RNA". It matches the Rfam family "Bacterial small subunit ribosomal RNA", at positions 29 to 507 of the family's 1533-position model. The record is from RNAcentral.